GGGCAGGUGGCCGAGUGGUUAAGGCGCUACGUUUAGGUGAAAAACCAUACCGUAGUGGGAAACCGCGUGCGUUCGAACCGCACCCUGCUCA
RNAcentral lists this transfer RNA (91 nucleotides) under Neofusicoccum ribis. RNAcentral describes it as "tRNA-Leu". It matches the Rfam family "tRNA". From Rfam's summary of the family: Transfer RNA (tRNA) molecules are approximately 80 nucleotides in length. The record is from RNAcentral. RNAcentral also lists the same sequence under 1 other name. Lineage: Eukaryota; Fungi; Ascomycota; Dothideomycetes; Botryosphaeriales; Botryosphaeriaceae.